This 322-nucleotide long non-coding RNA is filed under the name Mytilus galloprovincialis (Mediterranean mussel). Lineage: Eukaryota; Metazoa; Mollusca; Bivalvia; Mytilida; Mytilidae. The record is from RNAcentral.
UAGUGCGCAUGGAUGUUCAUAAAAUAUUGUAAUUUUAUUUUUUUUGCAUAUUAAAUGACAGUUUGAAAAAAAACGAGAAUGUUCAACUUCCAAAAUUCUGGUUGCAAAAACUAAAUUUUGAAAUUGACGCCGAAAACAAAUAGGGUGCAUUCAUAUUUUUGCUAUGUGGUUAUUUGCCGUUCUGGUUUUACGCAAUUAAUCAGAGUGAAUAAAAUAAUCGCGAUUGGACAUACAUUCUAAAUAAUUUAACUAAAAGGGCUAAAUAGGUGUUAAUUGUAAAAGAACAUAGCAAUUUUUACCGGAAUCAUCUAUUUCAUAACCG